This is a long non-coding RNA of Gallus gallus (chicken), 3878 nucleotides long. Lineage: Eukaryota; Metazoa; Chordata; Aves; Galliformes; Phasianidae. The record is from Ensembl.
UACCAGAAGACUCCAGGUUCACAGGGGAAAGCUUCACCAAGGACAGAUCUCCAGAAAGAGAUCCUUCCCCAGUGGCAGUCAGCCCUUAAAUGAGGUCCAAGAGAGGUGCAGCCAGGCCCCACUCCUUCCUAUCACUCAGAUGAAUUGCCUUCACCUGUGCUCCCAGGGCUGACCAGGUCCUUUCUCCAGGUGCUCCAUCAGUGGUUCAGGCUGGGACUCAACAGUUCCCAUACAGAAGCCCUCUCUGUGACUAACUUGUUAGCGCUUGUGAAAACAUAGGAGUUGCUAAUCACCAGGGCCUAUUACUCAAAGCACCCUUUAGAGCCUCCUGACAUCUAGCCUUCCUGAGCUUCUUGAGGGAUGAGGAAGGGACAACAACAAGCAAUUUGGGAACGGCAUUACGUCACUCAGCCCCAUCAGAGCCUACAGACUGCAAGAGACGAGAUGGCUCGGUGUGCUGUCACAUCUCCAGCAGCACUGUCAGCAACUGGCACAGGUAGCCAGCAGCCCUGCAUCAGCCAUGUCUUGUCCUGCAGAUCCAUGAGUCCUUCCAAGCUCACUGGUGCUCUCCUUCCAGUUACUCUAAUCCCCAGAGCAUGGUGAUUUUCUGCCAAUUUUGCAUAUGCUGCUGUUUCCAGAAAUUCCAGUUCAGUGUUUACACACAUUUCACAGUGAUCGCUCCUAACAACCAUUGAGAGAUGGUAUUAUCAUGUUUCUAUUUCCUACGAACUGCUGGCUAAGACUGCACUAAAAGUCCUGAGUGCCAGAUGGUCUGAUUUAUGUUAUUUAUUCUUUCAGCAUCUAUACAGAGCCAUAGGUACUUUAUGCAUUUUGUCAUUUUAAAUCAUAAACACUUUGCCACCCUCAAAUUCUGCCAACUGCCUUGGUUAUUACCUUCGCUGCAUCAUCAGUCACCAGUCAGCAUCCCAGGCUUGCCAGCACCACAGCUGAUGUACAGUUCAGGGAACUGCAAAUCCUGAACAACAAGCAUGUCUCAGACAAGCUGAGAUCCACCAACAGCAUCCACCUCCUGCUCCAGGAUUAAUGGAAACCGUUGGCAAGCCCUUCAAAUUUGGUACCUUUCUUCAUGUCUGAGAAUUCCUGUGAUGGAUCCCAAACUGUCAAGCAAAGCCUGCUUGGUGAGCAGCCAGAGUUUUUGCUUGGAAAUCUUCUCAUUGGUCUUGGGCAUCAAGACCAAUACUAUAUAUAUAAUAUAUAUGAUAUAUAUAUAUAUAAUACUAUACUAUAAUAUAUAUAUAUAUAAUACUAUACUUGGAAAUCAAGUAUAUGAAAUACAACAUGAAAUCAGAAGCAUUUACAUUUGUGUGGUUCAGAUUACUUGAAACACUGAGUAGACAGAAACAGGGAGUUUGAAAGCUCGUGUUUUUACUUCUCCCAGCAGACCAUGAGCUGGAAGUGACUGUCAUGAGUACAGGUAGGAAAUACCAGUGUAUUCCUUUCUCAUUUUGAAGUAUGUCUAUGAGGAAAGACUCUUUGCUAACAGCCAAAAAUAAAAGGAAAGCAGAAAGUUAUCAAGCAGUCUUGAAAAGGCCAUUUGAAUUUCCAGCUGAAAAUCAGCAAAUGUCUAAGUAGACACUUCGGGAGCUUUUCUGAACAGAGCUGGAGCCCUUUGCUGCAACAGCAUCCACCUCCUGCUCCAGGAUUAAUGGAAACCCUUGGCAAGCCCUUCAAAUUUGGUACCUUUCUUCACGUCUGAGAAUUCCUGUGAUGGAUCCCAUGGCACAACAGCAAAGUGCUUCCCAGCCAGCUGCGGACCCAGCCAACAGACAAGUGGGAUCUUCACCAUCUGCUGCCUGGAAGCAGCUCAACAGGACUCAUUUCAUCAAGAAAACAAUGAAGGCAACUGUCAUGUUACUUACAUUGUAUUUAACUACAAAAGCCCCAACACCUCCAUUUCUUCCAAGGCCCAGGCUUUAAGGCCAGAGCUGCCAGCUCCCCUGGUGCUGCCACGACCCUGGUCCCAAGCAGCUCCUCUGCACUCUGAGUUAGGGGCAACAAGCACAAAGUGAGAUCAGAAGAGCAUGACAAGCAUUUCAGCAUUAUUAAACGUAUCCAAACAUUUUAUUUAUGGACUGCAAUUUGAUUUUGCUUCUAUUUGUUAUAGUGUUUACUGAGCCAUUAGAUUUAAAAAAAUAUCUACUGGGAUGGAAAAAAGCUGGGGGCUGCUUCAUUGAGACCAGCAGGCAUGAGGAUGGUCCGGUUUUAUUAUUUACUGGGCCACUUAGCUUCUUUGCCACCAGUGUUGCUCAAGUGCAGUGCAUCUACCCAACGGCCAACAGAAUUGCUUCUGUGCCACAGGACAAAGAGAUGUGACCUCACAGGCCAGUCACAAUGGCAGAGCAAUAGCUGACAUGUUGUUUAUAUGGAAAACAGAAAAUUUCAACUGCUUUAAGAGGUGAAACAUUCUGUAUCAGAUAACAUAGUCAUCAGUCUAUGCUCCUUGGAGGCUAGUAACUCUUGUUGAGCAUCUCACCUAGGAAGAAAGCUUGGCUGUCUGGAGUAAGUGCUAAUUAACUAAAACUCAGUUUUGAAAAAGAGUAUCUGCAGAGGAGAGUUUGGCAAAUGUUUCUUUUCUGAAGCAUUUAAUUUAUCUGAACAAAACACUGCCUUUUAGCUCUAAUUACAGUUUGACCAACUACUGCUGCUUCCCAGGGAGCUACAAAUCUGCACCACAGAAGCAGUCAGACUGGCUGAAUUACCUUUCUUUUUUUCCAUGCAUUUAUUCAUUUAUGUGGUUUGGAAGCACUGUAAGUCAGCUAUUUGCUCUUUCCUUCAAAUGAGAGCCAUUUUGGAUACAGUUUUACAGUCCGACUGCAAAUCCACUGCUGAGGGAAGCCGCUAAUGCGGAGCCUCACAGCUGUACUGCAAUCUGAAUUAACAUUUCUGGGUCUGCCAAAGAUGUAGAAACAUUGCUGCUCACUUAAUAGAUGAUUGAAGGGAGUGUUCCAGGCAGGCAAAUUCAAAGUAUUGUGCAGAUGCUAGUCCUUCAAUUUUUUUUCCUGUAAACAUCAGCAGGCAGAGCAGAGAAGCGUGACAGACAAAGUAGGUUCCCAGCCCAAGCCACAUCCUCACAGAUGGGCACCUGGGUUGCAAGAAAAGAAGAAAAUUUUAUUUCCAUUAAAGACAGCAUUUAAGAGACUAUCAGUGCAAACUUCAAGCAGUUGCUUAGAGAUUACCAAGGUUAACAGAGAGCAGCACUAAGAAUGUCUUCAUGCUACACAGCAAGGAUGAGGGCAGUUUCUGGAACAAGCUGCAAACAUGUCUGGCUGUCAUUUAUUCAGGCAUCCUAAGAACAUCCUUCAGUUGCUGUGUGGGGGGUAGCAAAGGAGCAAAAGUAAUCUCCUGAGGUUUGGAGUCAGUAUGGUGAUGGCUGAGACUUCCUCUGCUCUGGUUCUGCGGCACUGGGAGAUGAGCCUGGUACCUCAGCUCCACACACACUGUGUUUGAAGGCACUUGGGCUAGAAGUGCUUGCCUUCACAAACAGGGUGAUAUGAGCAUGGGAAACGAGGGCAGAAAUGGUUUCUGAUGAAUGGCAGGGCUCUCACAGGCACAAGUGCAGGCUGUUCGUUCAGCAGCAUUGCUGUGGAAGGGCUGUUCCUGCUGCACUGCACGCUGCCAUCCAGUCACUGUGCAGCACCUGCCCCUCUGCAUGGCUCCAGCUGUCCCCUGGUGCCUUGCAGGCAGGCAGGACACAGCUGCUCUUCUGGCACGGCCUUAGCAGCCGGCUCCUCUCCUGCUGGGGCUGCAGAUGUGCUCAUCAGCAGCAGAGAUGCUUCCCAGAUGCAGGAACCAAAUCCACCAACCAGAAAUGGGAAGAGCAGAGUAAAGCACUGCCUGCUUCUGCAUGUGAUAAAAUC